GGUGGCUCUUACGUGGAAAUGAUCUGCAGAUUCCACUUUGUCUCAGCACGGCUAUAACCUAUCUGUCUGUGUCUUGGGUGAAGAAAUAGCCUGAACUGUGAGCACACACAGCUGGCCGAUAACUGGGCCUGUAUGUGAGUGUCUGAAACUGAACUUUUGAACUCCGCAGCAGCAGCCUGCUGCUUGCUGGCUGCAGUUGGUAUUGUUCGGUUGUAAAUUCUGAUAGUAUGUGGGCUAAAAUGUAGUGGCACAUCCCAGAUUCUCCAGUUAACAACCUGAACCCUACAAUUAAUAAGCAGGCCUGAAAAAGAACGAGGAGGCUGAUCAGAUGUCGUGCUUCUGCCUUAGACUGUGUCCUAGUUUGGACUGGGAGAAGCACAGGCUUUGGUGCAGGAAAGAAGAGGAAGCCAGAAAGGUGGCAAUCCAAAAAGAAGAAGUGAUCUUGAAAAGAAGAUUACAUGAAAAGAGAGUGGUGGAGAUUCUGGCUGGAGCACAGAUCCUGGACACGUGCGCAGAUCCUGGAAAUCACUGAGCUGUGUGGAGACAAACGCGUGGGGAUGUGCAGGGACCCUGGCCAGUCCUGCCUGAGGCUGGUGUCUGCAAACAGCUGCGUAGCAAGAACUGAAAGAACUUUCUGCCUACCUCGCUCAGGCUAGCGAUGAUCUUCUCUGAGAAGUGGAAGUCAGGCCUUAGUGAACCUAUAAAGCUCAGAAGAGAGCAAGUGAAUGCAGGAGAUUUCAUCGGAGGAUUUCAAAAUCUUUGCAGAAAUGGGCUUGCCACAUGUUUUCCCCCCUCCCCUCUCCACUGAAAAAGAGUGGCGAGAUGAAGUUCACUGGAUUGCCCACAUUUCUGCAGUCAGCCAGUGAGAAGAACAGAAAGGGCACAUUGGGGACAUUUUGGAAGUUUAGUUGGAGCUGCUGAUGCAUAAGGAAUACAAACCUGUGCCUUUGGAUGUGGUUCACUGCCACUCGGAGCAGGUGUUAACGGCCUGAAAAUGGACAGAUCAUUUAGAAGACUGAUCACCACUUGGAAGGACCUGUGAUAUCGGGUCUGUGUUCUUAUUCUGCACUCUGGAAUGGGGCCCUGCUCCCUCAUCCUGGCUCUCUGGUGAGUCUCCCUACCCCAGGCAAGAAAAGGAGGAUACUGCCGAGAGAAAGCACCUUGAAGAUAAUUCCCUUUCAUCUAUAGCUGCAGUGUUUGGCCGUUCUAAGGUUUGCAGAGCUAUAAAGCAUUUGAUAAUCCCAAGGGUGGGGGAGAAACUGAAGGGCAUCGCUUGAGUUCGAUGAAGCACUGAGGAGAAAGAACAGUGAAACAAAGAUUAUUUAUAGAGGAUGCUUGCCAAAUAAGAGCCCAAGCUUGUAAUUACAUCUUUAUACACUAUGGCCAUGUUUAAUAAAGAUCUUAAAUGCAGUA
Molecule: long non-coding RNA, 1413 nt
Organism: Hirundo rustica (Barn swallow)
Lineage: Eukaryota; Metazoa; Chordata; Aves; Passeriformes; Hirundinidae
Exons: 4
Source: RefSeq, a predicted model, not a curated record